UAUGUACUCCCUCCGUCCCAAAAUUAUUGUCUUAAAUUUGUCUAGAUAUGAAUGUAUCUAGUCAAGUUUUACUAUUUAGAUACAUUCAUUUUUAGACAAACCUAAGACAAGAAUUUUGGGACGGAGGGAGUAUAAU
Molecule: microRNA precursor, 136 nt
Filed under: Hordeum vulgare
Lineage: Eukaryota; Viridiplantae; Streptophyta; Magnoliopsida; Poales; Poaceae
Description: microRNA MIR1122
Rfam family: MIR1120/MIR1122 microRNA precursor family
Source: RNAcentral